This 2107-nucleotide ribosomal RNA is filed under the name Limnohabitans sp. SP3. Its description in RNAcentral is "bacterial LSU rRNA". It matches the Rfam family "Bacterial large subunit ribosomal RNA", at positions 543 to 2656 of the family's 2925-position model. Lineage: Bacteria; Pseudomonadati; Pseudomonadota; Betaproteobacteria; Burkholderiales; Comamonadaceae. The record is from RNAcentral. RNAcentral also lists the same sequence under 2 other names.
AUAGAUCCUGAAACCGUAUGCUUACAAAAAGUAGGAGCCCGCAAGGGUGACUGCGUACCUUUUGUAUAAUGGGUCAGCGACUUACAUUCAGUGGCAAGGUUAACCGAAUAGGGAAGCCGUAGAGAAAUCGAGUCCGAAUAGGGCGAAUUAGUCGCUGGGUGUAGACCCGAAACCAAGUGAUCUAUCCAUGGGCAGGAUGAAGGUGCCGUAACAGGUACUGGAGGUCCGAACCGACUAAUGUUGCAAAAUUAGCGGAUGACCUGUGGAUAGGGGUGAAAGGCUAAACAAACUUGGAAAUAGCUGGUUCUCUCCGAAAACUAUUUAGGUAGUGCCUCAAGUAUUACCGUCGGGGGUAGAGCACUGUUUUGGCUAGGGGGUCAUGGCGACUUACCAAACCAAUGCAAACUCCGAAUACCGACGAGUACAGCUUGGGAGACAGAGCACCGGGUGCUAACGUCCGGACUCAAGAGGGAAACAACCCAGACCGCCAGCUAAGGUCCCUAAAAUUGGCUAAGUGGGAAACGAAGUGGGAAGGCUAAAACAGUCAGGAUGUUGGCUUAGAAGCAGCCAUCAUUUAAAGAAAGCGUAAUAGCUCACUGAUCGAGUCGUCCUGCGCGGAAGAUGUAACGGGGCUAAGCCAGUUACCGAAGCUGCGGAUUUGCAAUUUAUUGCAAGUGGUAGGAGAGCGUUCUGUAAGCCUGUGAAGGUGCGUUGUAAAGCGUGCUGGAGGUAUCAGAAGUGCGAAUGCUGACAUGAGUAGCGUUAAAGGGGGUGAAAAGCCCCCUCGCCGUAAGCGCAAGGUUUUCUACGCAACGUUCAUCGGCGUAGAGUGAGUCGGCCCCUAAGGCGAGGCAGAGAUGCGUAGUUGAUGGGAAACAGGUCAAUAUUCCUGUACCGAUGUGUAGUGCGAUGUGGGGACGGAGAAGGUUAGCUCAGCAGACUGUUGGAUAUGUCUGUUCAAGCCUGUAGUCGUGCCUGGUAGGUAAAUCCGCCGGGCUUAGAUGAGGGGUGAUAACGAGGAUGCUUGCAUCCGAAGUGAGUGAUACCCUGCUUCCAGGAAAAGCCACUAAGCUUCAGCUACACACGACCGUACCGCAAACCGACACUGGUGCGCGAGAUGAGUAUUCUAAGGCGCUUGAGAGAACUCAGGAGAAGGAACUCGGCAAAUUGACACCGUAACUUCGGAAGAAGGUGUGCCUUUAGUAUGUGAACCUGAACAAGGGGAGCAGAAUGAGGCCUCAGAGAAUCGGUGGCUGCGACUGUUUAAUAAAAACACAGCACUCUGCAAACACGAAAGUGGACGUAUAGGGUGUGACGCCUGCCCGGUGCUGGAAGAUUAAAUGAUGGGGUGCAAGCUCUUGAUUGAAGUCCCAGUAAACGGCGGCCGUAACUAUAACGGUCCUAAGGUAGCGAAAUUCCUUGUCGGGUAAGUUCCGACCUGCACGAAUGGCGUAACGAUGGCCACACUGUCUCCUCCUGAGACUCAGCGAAGUUGAAAUGUUUGUGAUGAUGCAAUCUCCCCGCGGAAAGACGGAAAGACCCCAUGAACCUUUACUGUAGCUUUGUAUUGGACUUUGAACAGAUCUGUGUAGGAUAGGUGGGAGGCUUUGAAGCCGGAACGCUAGUUUCGGUGGAGCCAACGUUGAAAUACCACCCUGGUGUGUUUGAGGUUCUAACCUAGGUCCAUUAUCUGGAUCGGGGACAGUGCAUGGUAGGCAGUUUGACUGGGGCGGUCUCCUCCCAAAGCGUAACGGAGGAGUUCGAAGGUACGCUAGUUACGGUCGGACAUCGUGAUGAUAGUGCAAUGGCAUAAGCGUGCUUAACUGCGAGACUGACAAGUCGAGCAGAUACGAAAGUAGGACAUAGUGAUCCGGUGGUUCUGUAUGGAAGGGCCAUCGCUCAACGGAUAAAAGGUACUCUGGGGAUAACAGGCUGAUACCGCCCAAGAGUUCAUAUCGACGGCGGUGUUUGGCACCUCGAUGUCGGCUCAUCUCAUCCUGGGGCUGUAGCCGGUCCCAAGGGUAUGGCUGUUCGCCAUUUAAAGAGGUACGUGAGCUGGGUUUAAAACGUCGUGAGACAGUUUGGUCCCUAUCUUCCGUGGGCGCUG